This 253-nucleotide ribosomal RNA is filed under the name uncultured bacterium. RNAcentral describes it as "partial 16S ribosomal RNA". It matches the Rfam family "Bacterial small subunit ribosomal RNA", at positions 524 to 776 of the family's 1533-position model. The record is from RNAcentral.
UACAGGGGGUGCAAACGUUGCUCGGAAUUAUUGGGCGUAAAGCGCACGUAGGCGGUUUGUUAUGUCGGAUGUGAAAGCCCUUGGCUCAACUGAGGAAGUGCAUCCGAAACUGGCAAGCUAGAGUAUGUAAGAGGGUCGCGGAAUUCCCGGUGUAGAGGUGAAAUUCGUAGAUAUCAGGAGGAACACCGGUGGCGAAGGCGGCGACCUGGGACAAUACUGACGCUGAGGUGCGAAAGCGUGGGGAGCAAACAGG